Molecule: ribosomal RNA, 231 nt
Filed under: uncultured bacterium
Lineage: Bacteria
Description: partial 16S ribosomal RNA
Rfam family: Bacterial small subunit ribosomal RNA
Source: RNAcentral
UGAGGAACAUGACCUUCGGCGGGGGAUAGCCGGCCCAACGGCCGGGUAAUACCGCGUACGACCACAUGGGGACAUCCCUGAGUGGUGAAAGCAGCAAUGCGCCGAUGGAGUGCCUCGCGGCCUAUCAGCUAGUUGGUGAGAUAACGGCUCACCAAGGCGACGACGGGUANCUGGUCUGAGAGGAUGGCCAGCCACAGUUGGGACUGAGACACGGCCCAGAUCCCGUACGGG